Lagenorhynchus albirostris (white-beaked dolphin) is the source of this 2168-nucleotide long non-coding RNA. RefSeq lists it as uncharacterized. The transcript has 3 exons. Lineage: Eukaryota; Metazoa; Chordata; Mammalia; Artiodactyla; Delphinidae. The record is from RefSeq and is a predicted model, not a curated record.
ACCAGUAACGAGUGAGAGAGCAAAAACCAAGUUCAAGACAGUCCUGAGAAGUUUACAGUGACCUGGAAGCAACUACUACCCGCCAAUGAAAUCCUGACCAUGCUUCACGCACAUGGGGAGAAAAAGCUGCACUCCAAAAGGCUCUGCAGCAGCUAAACGCUGUGACAGCCUCGGCACUCUUUGCACCACGAGGCCCAGGCCAGGCCACACCACAUGAAACACUGCAUGCGGGGGGUCCGGCCGGAGAAAAAGAUCGUGACCCGAGGACGAGCUUCAGGAUUUCCUGCCAUCACCAAUCUUCAUUCAGAAUUCCCGCUUCUGCUCAAUCCAGGGUGGCCAAAUUUCUCUCCCUCCCAACAGCCUGACGCACUCCAGCAAGUUAUUAAGUUUGCAAUAGUGGUGCGGGCGAGGAGAUAACGAUAAAGCACAGGGGGCACCUAAAAGGGCACCUUGCUCCACAACAUCCGAUAGGCUCGAACGUAGCGGGGGGGGCGUAGGUGGAAACUCCGACCCCCAGCUUUUCUCGGGGGUACCCCACGCCACCCUGGGACAAGACGGCAGGGCAGGAGCCUAAAAGACACAACCGCACCUCAGAGCGGCGGGCUGAGAGAAAGCUCUGAGCAGGAAGAAGCCGCGGAGGCCCCACCAUCCCAUUAACAACAAACGCUCCGAAAAGGAGCUCCCUUCCCCGAACCUCGGCCCAUGCGCUCGCCCGCCAAGGAAUCCGGCGGGAAGACAACAGCCUCCCAGGAUCCCGACCACGCUCCUCCGCUCAGAACCUGAGGCGGGAAGGGGUGGCUCCAGGAUCCUUGCAGGUGGCGGUUUGAACUUGUGGCUACCACGCUCCCAGCACCUUCGCAGGACCUGGCUUUCAUCAGGCGGGGGAAACGCGAAGAAAUCGGCGGCCAAGUCUCCCGCGGACCCUCGGAGCUCCAGAAGCCAGUGGUAGCCGCCAGUCCCCUCGCUCCUUCCCUCCAUCCCGGGUCUCCCCCACCUUCCACCACAGCUUUACCUUCUUUCUUAAGCGCCACGGGCGGCUGCGUCUCCUCCUUCUUGUCAACCACGCCGACGUUGGGGGGCAGCGGGUUCUUGCGGUCUUUCUGGGACUCUUUACGCAGCUGUUUGCCCGCCGCGUUGGAGUUUGUCUGGGCUGCGGCCUGAGCUGCGCUCUUGGCCCCAGGGCCCCCAACGCCGCCCCCGCCGGCUUCUUUUUUCUUGUUCUCUGCUGCCUUCAACACCUCGAAGGGGUCCGAUUCGUCGUCAAAUAACUGGUCGAAUCGGUUGGUGACCACGCAGCCGAAGCCUUCUUGUAAGUGCCCAGGCAUGAUGGUGGCUCGGCGGCGCGUUCCUCCACGGAUUGCAGCGGGCCGCGCCGAGCCAAGAGCGCCUGCUUCAGCUCUUCCCACAAGAUGGCCGGGCCGAGAGAGGGGGGCCGUCUUCUCUUCCGGCGCCAGGCAGACAUCCGGGAGCGGCCAGCGCCGCGCGGUACCAUGGGGUGUGUAGGCCGAAGUCGCCUCUCCCGAGGCGGCUCCCAGCGUUAGGACUACAAUUCCCAGAACACACGGCGCGACAACUCUUCGCGCGCGCCUCAGAGGCGGGACCUCACCGAGGGAGUGGAGCAGCAAGCAGAGGGAGGAGAAGAGUGGUGGUGGGCGGAGCCCUGCCACCUGCUCUCGCCACCCUUAAACUCUCCGGGUCUCGAGCUGCGCUGAAAACAGGAAAACGGCUUGUUUUGCUCGGGAAAGUUCUGAGCUUUCGCUUUUACGUCCCGCCUCUGGCCCAGGGCUAACUUUCCCCACCUGUCCGGGAGGUCAAGGUGACUACCAGUCUUACAAGUGGAGACUCACAAACUUCCAGGGCUGGAGGGUUGCUGAGGUGCCGCACUUGCCUCACGAAGGCAGGACCCGCUCUGUGUCAAGUCCCUAGCUGAUCAGUUGCUGGAGUCGCCCUCCUGCAGCCCCAAUAAUGAAUUGAGGCUCUUCUGUUUAAUAUGAGGCGGAAUACGCUUCCUCUCGCGGGGACUGAACUCGAGCAGCAGAAUCAACCCAAAAGACAAGUUGAACUAUCAUAUGUGCUAUGAACAACCUUAAUGUCGACAACAACUUGUUAGGCCUCUCACUGCUGGGGCCUCUCUACCGUUGCGGAGCACCGGCUCCGGACGUGCAGGC